Molecule: microRNA precursor, 69 nt
Filed under: Ephydatia muelleri
Lineage: Eukaryota; Metazoa; Porifera; Demospongiae; Spongillida; Spongillidae
Description: Emu-Mir-2019_pre stem-loop
Source: RNAcentral
AAAGUGAUCGGGUUGCCGUCUGAGUACAAGGCCAUCAUGGCCUCUCACGCGGCAAGCUGCUCACUUCGA